Molecule: ribosomal RNA, 446 nt
Filed under: Bacilli bacterium
Lineage: Bacteria; Bacillati; Bacillota; Bacilli
Description: bacterial SSU rRNA
Rfam family: Bacterial small subunit ribosomal RNA
Source: RNAcentral
UUUUUGGAGAGUUUGAUCUUGGCUCAGGACGAACGCUGGCGGCGUGCCUAAUACAUGCAAGUCGAGCGCUGGAAGCUAAUUUCAUCCCUUCGGGAUGAAAUUAGUGGAAAGAGCGGCGGACGGGUGAGUAACACGUGGGCAACCUACCUAUAAGACUGGGAUAACUCGCGGAAACGUGAGCUAAUACCGGAUAAUACUUUUUAUUGCAUAAUAAGAAGUUUGAAAGGCGGCGUAAGCUGUCACUUAUAGAUGGGCCCGCGGCGCAUUAGCUAGUUGGUGAGGUAAAGGCUCACCAAGGCAACGAUGCGUAGCCGACCUGAGAGGGUGAUCGGCCACACUGGGACUGAGACACGGCCCAGACUCCUACGGGAGGCAGCAGUAGGGAAUCUUCCGCAAUGGACGAAAGUCUGACGGAGCAACGCCGCGUGAGUGAAGAAGGUUUUCGG